Molecule: ribosomal RNA, 472 nt
Filed under: uncultured bacterium
Lineage: Bacteria
Description: bacterial SSU rRNA
Rfam family: Bacterial small subunit ribosomal RNA
Source: RNAcentral
CCUUACACAUGCAAGUUCGGAACGGCAGCACGGGGAGCAAUCCUGGUGGCGAGUGGCGAACGGGUGAGUAAUAUAUCGGAACGUCGCCCAGUCGGUGGGGGAAUAACGCAGCGAAAGCUGUGCUAAUACCGCAUACGAUCUAUGGAUGAAAGCGGGGGAUCGCAAGACCUCGCGCGAUUUGGAGCGGCCGAUAUCAGAUUAGCUAGUUGGUGGGGUAAAAGCCCACCAAGGCGACGAUCUGUAGCUGGUCUGAGAGGACGACCAGCCACACUGGAACUGAGACACGGUCCAGACUCCUACGGGAGGCAGCAGUGGGGAAUAUUGCACAAUGGGGGAAACCCUGAUGCAGCCAUGCCGCGUGUGUGAAGAAGGCCUUCGGGUUGUAAAGCACUUUCAGCGAGGAGGAAAGGUCAGUAGCUAAUAUCUGCUGGCUGUGACGUUACUCGCAGAAGAAGCACCGGCUAACUCCGUG